ACGAGGAAGGAAAAGUUAACGCGGAAAAAAAAGUCGGAGCGGACAUUUCUCUCAAAACCUCUCCUUUUCUCUCCUCUUUCCCCUCCGUCGGAGCCCCUCUGUCGCUGCCUCUUCCUCUCCAUCAAAGCUGCAUUUCUUGAGCCAACUUCGCGCUACGUCCUAACACGUAGGUUGGCUGAAAGAAGCUGCAUUUCCAGUAUGAUACGGAGGCAUCUAAGCGAGCUUGGAAAAUCGCUUGCUCCUUCUCCCCUGCGGUUGUUGAGGUCCCAAGGGGAGAGACGUUUGUGAUUGGCCCAAUCGACUUCCCUGGAGGUUGUUCAUCCAAAGUUGCUCUGUUGAAUGUGUGCCCCUGCGAUGACUUCCACUUUGUUGCUGAUCGUCCUGCAGAGCAUUCUUAAGUCAAGGGGAGAAAUGAGUAGCAUGAAUUAUGUUUUAAAGAUUCUUUAUGGUGUUGCGAUAGGACACUAUAUUUUAAGAAUUUUGCUCCAAAGUCGUGAAGAAAGGAUUUUGUGUCUCUGUGACCCUGUGGUCUGUUCUUAGUGCUGGUUAAGGUGGUUUUCCAGUAUUGCAGUAUUGCACUAAAUAAUGAAUAAAAUUUUGCACUAAUAGAUCUCAGAUGUAAGACUGAUUGAAUAAAGAAGAACAUGCAAGAAAGUGUUCAUGAAGAUCAGGAAGAAAGUGUUCAAGAAAAUGCACGAAAGUGUACAUUUUACUUUUG
Molecule: long non-coding RNA, 718 nt
Organism: Nymphaea colorata (pocket water lily)
Lineage: Eukaryota; Viridiplantae; Streptophyta; Magnoliopsida; Nymphaeales; Nymphaeaceae
Exons: 4
Source: RefSeq, a predicted model, not a curated record